AUGCAGCGACGCCACGUUGAGGGAUGACGGCCUUCGGGUUGUAAACCUCUUUCAGCAGGGAAGAAGCGAGAGUGACGGUACCUGCAGAAGAAGCGCCGGCUAACUACGUGCCAGCAGCCGCGGUAAUACGUAGGGCGCAAGCGUUGUCCGGAAUUAUUGGGCGUAAAGAGCUCGUAGGCGGUCUGUCGCGUCUGGUGUGAAAUCCCAUGGCUCAACUGUGGGCUUGCAUCGGGUACGGGCAGACUAGAGUGCUGUAGGGGAGACUGGAAUUCCUGGUGUAGCGGUGGAAUGCGCAGAUAUCANGAGGAACACCGAUGGCGAAGGCAGGUCUCUGGGCAGUUACUGACGCUGAGGAGCGAAAGCAUGGGGAGCGAACAGGAUUAGAUACCCUGGUAGUCCAUGCCGUAAACGUUGGGCACUAGGUGUGGGGACAGUUCCACUGUUUCUGUGCCGCAGCUAACGCAUUAAGUGCCCCGCCUGGGGAGUACGGCCGCAAGGCUA
Molecule: ribosomal RNA, 501 nt
Filed under: uncultured bacterium
Lineage: Bacteria
Description: bacterial SSU rRNA
Rfam family: Bacterial small subunit ribosomal RNA
Source: RNAcentral